Molecule: long non-coding RNA, 570 nt
Filed under: Phoenix dactylifera (date palm)
Lineage: Eukaryota; Viridiplantae; Streptophyta; Magnoliopsida; Arecales; Arecaceae
Description: long non-coding RNA (PDAC_LNC012519)
Source: RNAcentral
CCCAUUACACUGUUUCAAAACCGAGUCAUACUAGUACUCAGAUUGCAGACAAGGAUGCUCAUAUUCCAAACAAAAUUCUCCUCUCACCAUGCCUCCAUUUUAAAUUCUCAACAACCAUGAAGCAACCCCUUUUGCACUGUCCAAUGAGAUUUUAUCAAUUGCCCGGCAACGAGGCUACCAGUAGAUCACCUGGUCUAGUUUCUUUCUCACCCGUCUUCUAAAGUAUUUCCUCAUGUUCAGAUGUGUCUCCAGGUAAUGGCUUACUCUAACCUCUUGCCAAUUUCUAUAGCAAGAAGGCUUGCCAAUUGGUUCAAUCAAGAGUAUUCUCACCAGGUAUGCUGCAAGCAGCUGCUGCUCUGUUAAUAAUGGUUAACAAACUCAAGGACAUCCAUUUUACUAACUCUGCAAAGCUGUUGUAACAACCCAGGAUCUCACCCAAAAUGGCUAGCCGGAAGUUAUUAUUUGAAUUCCUUGAUCCUGUAUAAGAACCUGUAUCAAAUAAUCCAUUCGGAAGGAAUAAACCCUUGAACCCAUACCGUGUUAUGAUCCAGAUAAAAAAGGUCACUCUCU